UAGCACUCUGGACUCUGAAUCCAGC
RNAcentral lists this non-coding RNA (25 nucleotides) under Drosophila melanogaster (fruit fly). RNAcentral also lists the same sequence under 5 other names. The record is from RNAcentral. Lineage: Eukaryota; Metazoa; Arthropoda; Insecta; Diptera; Drosophilidae.